GACGAACGCUGGCGGCGUGCUUAACACAUGCAAGUCGAACGGAAAGGCCCUGCUUUUGUUGGGUGCUCGAGUGGCGAACGGGUGAGUAACACGUGAGUAACCUGCCCUUGACUUUGGGAUAACUUCAGGAAACUGGGGCUAAUACCGGAUAGGAGCUCCUGCUGCAUGGUGGGGGUUGGAACGUUUCGGCGGUUGGGGAUGGACUCGCGGCUUAUCAGCUUGUUGGUGGGGUAGUGGCUUACCAAGGCUUUGACGGGUAGCCGGCCUGAGAGGGUGACCGGCCACAUUGGGACUGAGAUACGGCCCAGACUCCUACGGGAGGCAGCAGUGGGGAAUAUUGCACAAUGGGCGGAAGCCUGAUGCAGCAACGCCGCGUGCGGGAUGACGGCCUUCGGGUUGUAAACCGCUUUCGCCUGUGACGAAGCGUGAGUGACGGUAAUGGGUAAAGAAGCACCGGCUAACUACGUG
Molecule: ribosomal RNA, 468 nt
Filed under: uncultured bacterium
Lineage: Bacteria
Description: partial 16S ribosomal RNA
Rfam family: Bacterial small subunit ribosomal RNA
Source: RNAcentral